This 596-nucleotide long non-coding RNA is filed under the name Gossypium barbadense (sea-island cotton). Its description in RNAcentral is "long non-coding RNA (GBAR_LNC010785)". The record is from RNAcentral. Lineage: Eukaryota; Viridiplantae; Streptophyta; Magnoliopsida; Malvales; Malvaceae.
CAAACCUAAAUAAACCUAAUCCCAAAACCCAAUUACAAACCAACCCAAAUAACCCAGGCCCAACUAAGCCUAAAACCCUAAAUGCACCAAACAAAAAUUUCAAACCCUAGGUGCGCCGCACCUAGGGCCUUCUGUUCGUCUGCCACCUCCUGCCUGUUACAGCACCGCCCCACCGUCGUCCAAGUUGCGCCCCUGCAAGCAUUAAAUGAGAGUUGACAUAAAGCAGAAAUCAAAGCAUGUAAUGGCUAUUUAAAGCCAAAUCAAAAAACCAUUUGUACAUUCGGGAUUUUGGUGAAAUAAUAAACAACAUUAGAUUUAAAAAAAACACAAGCAAAGAUAGAGACUUUAGCAACAUCAAAAGCAGGAAACAACCCAAGGAAGAAAUCAAAAUUAGAAAUCGAAAGGUGUUCUAAAUUUCCUAAGUUUCGAAUCAGUUUCUUUCUUCCCUUUUUUUGCCUUUUUUGUUUAUAUGGGUGUGCAUAUAUAGAUUAAAAACAUAAGAAAAAUAAUAAAAAAGGAAGAAAAAUCACCUUUUUUUUAAACUCACGGCGGCGCACGGCGGUCCGAUGAUCGGACGGUGGCCGGCCUUACUGCCG